Long non-coding RNA from Anguilla rostrata (American eel), 2347 nucleotides. RefSeq lists it as uncharacterized. NCBI's taxonomy places the organism in Eukaryota, Metazoa, Chordata, Actinopteri, Anguilliformes, Anguillidae. The transcript is spliced from 3 exons. The record is from RefSeq and is a predicted model, not a curated record.
AAGCACCCUCCAAACCACUUUUAGGAAAGUGGUUAAUGCGAGAUGUCCGUCGUUUGGUGCGUGUGUAGAGUCUCGGGGAAAGGGCUCGGUCUAUUCAACUCAGAAGACAAGACUAUGCGACGGAGCUUAUGCGGAACCGGUUCCCCAUUGUAGCCCAACAUACAAUUUCGUCAAGGCUGGAUUAGAGUGAAUCGUAGUGUGACGCUACCCCUGAGACUGACUGCCAGCCCUCCACCCCAGCCCACUCCCCUGUGGUCAGCAGAACCCACACUGCCCCAACUCCGCAAUACUGGGCCACUCCAGGCAAAAGGGUAGAGACACUCCAAGUCCUGCAUCCUGUAAAUCAAACUGGCACAUCACUGGCCCAAAAUCCAUGGACUUUCAGAGCAACUGAACAACAAAUGUGGGAUUAAUAAAGCAGCCAUUAUGGUUCCUGGAUAUUGGAUAAAGGGAUUUGUGCCAGCGGUGGUAACUGCUGACAGCCACUCAGCUGGGAGUUCAUGUUUCUGGAAACUGGGUAUUUGUCCGGACGGCUCGCAGAAUCGGGCCUUUUUCGGGAGAGUGAUAGCAGCCUACAGUGCGUCCCCUGUAAAGGACACUAGUUAAUCUCUGGGCCUCUACCUCAGUUGCUCCCUGCAGGAAAUUCUUGGUCCCAUUUUGCACUGAUCCUCUGAUAUGACUCUACUGCACCACAGUUGAGCAACAAGGCAGUAGUCACCCACAAAGUCACUGAAAUGGUGUUAAACAUUAACACCGUUUCAUAAUGCCAUCAUAUACUGUAAACUUGGUUUAUUGAACAUUGAGGAGUUAAUCCUUCAGAGAUAAUGCAGAAAUGUACUGCAUGCAUGCCUGUGUGCUCUGAGAUAUGAGUGCCCGCCUCCUCUUCUCCCAUGGUGCUCAGCCUUUACCCCAGGAACCCACUUCCUUGGGAGUGUGCCCUUUCCCUCGACUUGGACUGGGGUCUUGCGGUAUCUGUUCACUCCAGGUUUGGAGUUAAAAAAUAACCUCUGGCCCAAGGCAGAGCACUGGUCUGGUACUGGUCCGAGUGGGUCAGUCCACAUGAGACUCCAGUGAACCAAACAGGAUCCCAGGAAAAGAUGCAGAGAGACUCUGCUGGGUCCUUCCUUCCCCCCUGCCCCCCCCCCCCUCCCCAUUUUAAUAAUGCCACUCCUGACAUGCAUUUUACAUUCAGAGUGGCUGCUUGCUGCAAUUGGCGUGCUUCUGACCUGUACUGAAACAAACAGCCCACUGUGACCCCGUACAGGUUCUUGCUCGCAUUUUGCAGGAAUGUCCACGCUUAACUAGGACUCAAGCGGAGCCACCCAUCAAGUCUGCAUGAGGUCACCGACCAAAACAGACCCCAAGAGACCCACAACGUCUUUUCUGAAAUGCGGUCAUGCUGUUUGCGAGGUUUAAGCAACUGUAUUUUCAUUUAGGCUUCAAGCGAAACUGCAGUGCUUUGUGUGAAGACUUUAAAACUGAUUUGCUUAUUUGAGUUGGCUGUGGAAAAGCAGAUCAGAUUGUAACAGCUUGGAUUGCCGCACAAUUUUUUCUCCAGGGCUAAUUUACUUGUUACAAAUUUGUCUCUUUUACAACCCCAGAGGGAGGUAUCCAUAAUAAUUUUUAUAACUUUUGACUUGAGAGAAAUGUCCCUUUACUGGGGAAUUAAAAAGAAGAAAUGGACUCCUGGAAUUAAUGAAAGAAAAACACAUUUGAUGAGGAUUUGUUCGGGUCCUGUACAUUUAAAUUGAUGAUAUAUUUACAAAGUUACACUUCAUUUUUUAACGAUGAACAAGGAGGCACUUUGAGCCUGUUUGUGUGAAAUUUUGACAUGCUCUGAUGUUAAAGUGCGUGACAUUCCCUUUUCCUACCCCUGAUAUAUCAGUUUGAAUACUGAUAUAGAGAUCAGAAUUCAAGAAUGCAAGCUGGGUUUCCUAGGCAACAUAAGCACCUUUUGGUGAAGUGCUAUUUUGUAAAUGUUUACUUUAAACAGAAAUGCACUGUGAACAUUAGUGACAUUCAUCUACCUUGUAGAUAAGCUAGAAUGCCUGGAAUUGCAUUUAGGUGACCAAGAGCAUUUGUAAAAUAAGUUAAAUUUGUAAGUAUGACUUACACCCACAGAGAUGAAGAGAUGGAUUGUUUCCAAGAGGGUUAAGCCAUAAGUUGAUUAAGAAACCAUGAAAGGAUUUCAAAAUUAAUGUCAAGACCUUGGUCCUGCAAUACCACCAUACUGGGACCUUAGAAAAACUCUAUCUCUAUAAACGAAAGUGUUCUGAUUCCUGUCCUGACUGUAUGAUCCAACUGCGCCUGUAAAUCGCUGUAAAUAAUUCUUCACUCGCACUCUCAA